Molecule: ribosomal RNA, 209 nt
Filed under: uncultured bacterium
Lineage: Bacteria
Description: partial 16S ribosomal RNA
Rfam family: Bacterial small subunit ribosomal RNA
Source: RNAcentral
UGCGUAGGUGGGUUGGUAAGUCAGUGGUGAAAUCCCCGAGCUUAACUUGGGAACUGCCAUUGAUACUAUCAGUCUUGAAUAUUGUGGAGGUUAGCGGAAUAUGUCAUGUAGCGGUGAAAUGCUUAGAUAUGACAUAGAACACCAAUUGCGAAGGCAGCUGGCUACGCAUAUAUUGACACUGAGGCACGAAAGCGGUGGGGAUACAAACA